AUGUUGUAUAAGAAAAAGUUAGCACUCAUUUGACAAGGACAGAAGGCCCUCUGGUCUGUCCAAUGCACCUAUAGCUAAGGCCUUCCACCAGCUUCCAACCAUGGUUUUGA
Molecule: non-coding RNA, 110 nt
Filed under: Sciurus vulgaris (Eurasian red squirrel)
Lineage: Eukaryota; Metazoa; Chordata; Mammalia; Rodentia; Sciuridae
Source: RNAcentral